RNAcentral lists this ribosomal RNA (1086 nucleotides) under Triticum aestivum (bread wheat). Its description in RNAcentral is "partial small subunit ribosomal RNA". Lineage: Eukaryota; Viridiplantae; Streptophyta; Magnoliopsida; Poales; Poaceae. The record is from RNAcentral.
AUGACGAACCUCCUGGUGGGCUCCAACAUUAUCACCGAUCAUGACGCCAUGGUUGACGCCGCCUUCGACCACUUCUCUGAGGUACCCGGCACCGCCGCCGAGCGCGAUAUCACGCUCGAUCUUCAGGCUCUCCAGGUUCCGCGGUUUGACUUGCUUGAGCUAGAUGCGCCCUUCACCGAUGAGGAGAUCUGGGGCGCAGUCAAAAGCCUACCGGCCAGCAAGGCGCCCGGCCCCGAUGGCUUUACCUCCAAGUUCCUGGUUGCUUGUUGGGACACGAUCAAGCACGACUUCCGUGAAGCCUUCGACAAGCUAUACUCCAUGAAUGGCAGAAGCUUCCAAAAGCUAAAUGAGGCACUACUCACUUUGCUCCCAAAGCGCACGGACGCGAUAUCCCUCUAUGACUACCGGCUGAUUAGUCUCAUCAGAAUCUUCGCCAACCUUGCCGCGAAGCUGCUCUCCCUUCGACUGGCACCUCACCUGGGAUCCAUGGCGACGAUGACGUGGGAGCAUCCACCGGAAGGUGGGGGCAGGCCGCCGCCGCCGCCCACCGCCGAUCCUUGGCACGGGCGCCGCUUAUGCCGAAGACCAUGCGGCAGCGCUCCCUCUCCCCACCUCCCCCAACAACACCGCACCCUCUCUGAGCAACUAGCCUCGCUGCCUCCCCUCGCCGACCUCGCCUUGGCGGCUUUCCCUUGCCUCAGCUGUCUUUCCAAUCCCCCGAUUCUAACGCCUCGCCUUGGCCAUCUUCACCUCGCUGUCAGCCUUCCUGACUUCGCCGAUGGCUGCAACCCCGUCCUGGACGGCGGGGUAUGCAUGGUCCGUAAGAUGCGCGUCCUAUCGGGCCUUCCUAUCGCCUCCAGUGGGGAGCUGCUCAAGAUCAUCGACGGCCUCUUGUGGGCUUUGCCACCGCCAGCCUCUUUGUGCCCUAGCCUGCGCGGUAAACCUCCCGCCUCCAUGGGGUCAGCCCUGGUACAAGCGGUUCUGGAGGAGACAGUCAGCGCCGACGAUCUUCACUUGCGCUUUCGCGACUGCCUGAACACGAGUAAACACACCCAGGCAACUGCACGAGGAGGGCAGACGCGUUGA